ACGCCCAACACACAAAACAAGCGGUGAAUGCUUUGGGGUGGGGUGACUGCGUACCUUUUGUAUAAUGGGUCAGCGACUUAUAUUCUGUAGCAAGGUUAACCGAAUAGGGGAGCCGGAGGGAAACCGAGUCUUAAUUGGGCGUUAAGUUGCAGGGUAUAGACCCGAAACCCGGUGAUCUAGCCAUGGGCAGGUUGAAGGUUGGGUAACACUAACUGGAGGACCGAACCGACUAAUGUUGAAAAAUUAGCGGAUGACCUGUGGCUGGGGGUGAAAGGCCAAUCAAACCGGGAGAUAGCUGGUUCUCCCCGAAAGCUAUUUAGGUAGCGCCUCGUGAAUUCAUCUCCGGGGGUAGAGCACUGUUUCGGCUAGGGGGCCAUCCCGGCUUACCAACCCGAUGCAAACUGCGAAUACCGGAGAAUGUUAUCACGGGAGACACACGGCGGGUGCUAACGUCCGUCGUGAAGAGGGAAACAACCCAGACCGCCAGCUAAGGUCCCAAAGUCAUGGUUAAGUGGGAAACGAUGUGGGAAGGCCCAGACAGCCAGGAUGUUGGCUUAGAAGCAGCCAUCAUUUAAAGAAAGCGUAAUAGCUCACUGGUCGAGUCGGCCUGCGCGGAAGAUGUAACGGGGCUAAACCAU
RNAcentral lists this ribosomal RNA (638 nucleotides) under Salmonella enterica subsp. enterica. RNAcentral's name for it is "partial 23S ribosomal RNA". It matches the Rfam family "Bacterial large subunit ribosomal RNA", at positions 566 to 1190 of the family's 2925-position model. The record is from RNAcentral. Lineage: Bacteria; Pseudomonadati; Pseudomonadota; Gammaproteobacteria; Enterobacterales; Enterobacteriaceae. RNAcentral also lists the same sequence under 1 other name.